CUGAAAGUAUAUACUUAGAGAAAAGAAAAAGAGCAUUCUAGUGUAGUGAGAGAAAUAGCUAUGGCGCCAGUUAUGCAAAGCUCUCAGCCAUGGGUCGAGAAAUAUCGACCGAAGCAAGUGAAGGACGUAGCUCACCAGGAUGAGGUCGUUCGAGUCCUCACAAACACUCUCGAGACCUCUAACUGCCCGCAUAUGUUGUUUUAUGGUCCUCCUGGAACUGGAAAGACGACCACUGCUCUUGCCAUUGCCCAUCAGCUUUUUGGACCUGAGCUGUAUAAGUCAAGGGUAUUGGAGCUAAAUGCUAGUGAUGACCGUGGUAUCAAUGUAGUUCGCACAAAAAUUAAGAACUUUGCUGCUGUUGCUGUAGGUUCUAAUCGGCAAAGUGGUUAUCCUUGCCCACCUUUUAAGAUCAUAAUCCUUGAUGAAGCAGAUUCAAUGACUCAAGAUGCUCAAAAUGCCUUGCGACGCACUAUGGAGACAUAUUCAAAAGUUACAAGAUUCUUCUUCAUUUGUAAUUACAUUAGCAGGAUCAUAGAGCCACUCGCUUCCAGAUGUGCGAAGUUUAGAUUCAAGCCACUUACUGAAGAAAUAAUGGGCAGCCGAAUAUUGCAUAUUUGUAAAGAGGAAGGUCUUAAUCUUGAUUCAGAGGCUCUUUCUGCCCUCAGUUCCAUUUCUCAAGGUGAUUUGCGAAGGGCUAUUACAUACUUACAAAGUGCUGCUCGGUUAUUUGGAUCUUCCAUAUCAGCAAAGGACCUAAUUAGUGUGUCUGGGGUCAUCCCAAAUGAAGUUGUUCAGGCUAUAUUCUCAGCUUGCAGAAGUGGCAAUUUUGACUUGGCAAACAAAGAAGUGAACAAUGUCGUUGCAGACGGAUAUCCUGUUUCUCAGAUGCUGUAUCAGUUGUAUGAUAUAGUAGUUGAUGCAGACGACAUUUCUGAUGAACAGAAAGCAAGAAUAUGCAAGAAAUUUGCUGAAGCAGACAAGUGUCUUGUUGAUGGAGCAGAUGAGUAUUUGCAACUUUUGAAUGUUGCAAGCACCACAAUGCAAGCGCUUAGCAACAUGCCACAAGAGAUGGCAUUUUGAAUUUGUAUUCCCUAUCAAUUCUUGGAAAGUCACGUUAAUAGACGGUUAUUGGGUUUAUUGCAAGUCUUUUGAUAUGGAACUUAUCCUAAAGUCUCCUCUCCAAGAGCUCUGGUGAUGACAAAGGAAGCAACUCGUCUGUUGUCUGUUGUGGUGGGGCGGCUUUUUCCUUUCACAUCUCUUAUUAGAUGAGGAUAAGUUUUUACUCAUGAGUCAACAGUAUCCUUGUUGUAGGAGUUCAAUUAAGUUAUGUUUGUUGACUGCCAAUCCUCGCGGCGGAUUUGGAUGGGGCUGUUUAUUGUCAUUGUCAUGCGCGAGGUUAAAGUCUUGACUAGAUGUUUGUUUGACUCUUCAUUACUACUUUUAUUCAAAUCCAGACAUAUCAUACUGCCUUUUCACAA
This is an RNA transcript of Solanum dulcamara, 1478 nucleotides long. It is a transcript of the gene named replication factor C subunit 2, with no coding region annotated. Lineage: Eukaryota; Viridiplantae; Streptophyta; Magnoliopsida; Solanales; Solanaceae. The transcript is spliced from 13 exons. The record is from RefSeq and is a predicted model, not a curated record.